Molecule: long non-coding RNA, 281 nt
Organism: Helianthus annuus (common sunflower)
Lineage: Eukaryota; Viridiplantae; Streptophyta; Magnoliopsida; Asterales; Asteraceae
Exons: 3
Source: RefSeq, a predicted model, not a curated record
GUGUACGUACGACCAGGAGGGGCUCCAAGGAGCCAAACCCUAACUUGAUCAAUUACAUCAAAUUGACGAUGGAUUCUAGCCUCAAAUCAUUGCAUGAACACAAAUUCGUGAUCACCUAAGCUAGGAGAUCACAAGUUUGACGCUUGACAAGCUCGGUGGGAGCUUGUGGAUGAAGCGGGUCAAACGGAUCAAGAACGGAAGGAAAAGCAUGGCAUGGAUGCGAGGUACCUUUGGGAUGCCGGAAGACGAUCAAGCUCAGCGAAGAACCGAACACGAUAUAG